Streptomyces scabiei 87.22 is the source of this 75-nucleotide non-coding RNA. It matches the Rfam family "ASpks TB sRNA". NCBI's taxonomy places the organism in Bacteria, Bacillati, Actinomycetota, Actinomycetes, Kitasatosporales, Streptomycetaceae. The record is from Rfam.
CUUCAACGACCCCAACCAGAGCGGUCGUUCGGCCGACCGCUCCCGACCGUACGUCGCCAGCAACGCCUGCGCCUC